GGGUCAGUAGGUUGGUCGUGCCACCGGUACGUACUGGUCUCACUGAUUCCUCCUUCCUGAAGAACCGUAAUGCCAUUAAUUUGGUGUUGCGGGGAAACAGGACUGUUACUUUGAAAAAAUUAGAGUGUUUAAAGCAAGCUAACGCUUGAAUACAUUAGCAUGGGGUAAUGAAAUAGGACGAUCGAUCCUAUUUUGUUGGUUUCUAGGAUUGACGUA
RNAcentral lists this ribosomal RNA (216 nucleotides) under Glomeromycotina sp. RNAcentral describes it as "partial small subunit ribosomal RNA". The stretch from base 40 to 216 matches the Rfam family "Eukaryotic small subunit ribosomal RNA", at positions 686 to 864 of the family's 1831-position model. Lineage: Eukaryota; Fungi; Glomeromycota. The record is from RNAcentral.